Bison bison bison is the source of this 60-nucleotide microRNA precursor. The record is from Ensembl. NCBI's taxonomy places the organism in Eukaryota, Metazoa, Chordata, Mammalia, Artiodactyla, Bovidae.
AAGACCUUCGUUCAGGGUUUUCCAUUAGAUGUUACAGAAAACCCUGAAUGAACCUUUUGG